Triticum aestivum (bread wheat) is the source of this 115-nucleotide non-coding RNA. NCBI's taxonomy places the organism in Eukaryota, Viridiplantae, Streptophyta, Magnoliopsida, Poales, Poaceae. The record is from Rfam.
UACGUACUCCCUUCGUUCGGAAUUAAUUGUCUGAGAAAUGAAUGUAUCUAGAACUAAAAUACAUCUAGAUACAUCCAUUUUCGCGACAAGUAAUUCCGAACGGAGGGAGUAGGUA